ACUUUAUUGAGCGCAAGUUUCGGCCAAGCCAUAUUAUUUGAUGUGGUUUUUGCCUUGGUUAUGAAGUCGAGUCUGCCAGGCUGUGAGUACAUUUAUAUUUCUCUCCUUCAACGGCCGAUAAAAUUAACUAUUUUGCCAGCGUGCACGUAAUGGGCGCAUCAUUUGCCAAGGGCUGUCUGUGUGUGUGUGUGUGGCCUGGUCCUGUCUGCACAUCGUCCCAUGGCCACAGCCCUUCCCCGCUUUCAUAUCCUGUUUCGAGUGCUUUAAAUUGCCAUAAAAAUGCGCUAUCGACUGCCAUCUUUUCGGACGGCUCUCUGCCCCAGCUGUGGAUCGUUGCUGUUGUUGCUGCCUUCCUGUGCGUUUGCCUGCCACAUUUCUACACUCAAUUUGUACAAAAUUUAAUUGUCUGCUGCCGUUGCUCUUGCGUCUAUUUAUUUGUAUUUUUUCUGUGCUUGUUUUUUCUUUUUCUUGUUUUCGCAUUAUUUGUUGCUUCGUUUUUUCGGUUAACGCCUGCCAAUGCCAAAUGCCGUCCGAUUGCCGCUGUCCGCUGUCCGCUGUCCGCUGUCCGGGGGCAGCAUUGCCUAUUUUUAUGUCGUUUUAUUUAUUGACGAUGCGCCCUUUAAAUCAAUGAAGCAUAGGUCUAGGCCUUGUCGCUUAAAUUUACGCCGAAGCCUCUCCAUUC
RNAcentral lists this long non-coding RNA (682 nucleotides) under Drosophila guanche. Lineage: Eukaryota; Metazoa; Arthropoda; Insecta; Diptera; Drosophilidae. The record is from RNAcentral.